This 856-nucleotide ribosomal RNA is filed under the name uncultured Neocallimastigales. RNAcentral describes it as "partial large subunit ribosomal RNA". It matches the Rfam family "Eukaryotic large subunit ribosomal RNA", at positions 1 to 637 of the family's 3401-position model. Lineage: Eukaryota; Fungi; Neocallimastigomycota; Neocallimastigomycetes; Neocallimastigales. The record is from RNAcentral.
UGUACACGCUGUGACUAGCAUAUCAAUAAGCGGAGGAAAAGAGGUACUACCUACGCUUAGGAUGUUGACAGCAGUAUAGACUGUACACGCUGUGACUAGCAUAUCAAUAAGCGGAGGAAAAGAAACUAACAAGGAUUCCCCUAGUAACGGCGAGUGAAGCGGGAAGAGCUCAAAUUUGAAAUCUUAAAGGGUUUCCCUUUACGAAUUGUAGUUUAAAGAAGUGUUUUCUGUUGAGGUUUUGGUAAAAGUUCUUUGGAAUAGGACAUCAUAGAGGGUGAGAAUCCCGUAUUUGACCUUUACUUUCAACUUUGUGAUACACUUUCAAAGAGUCGGAUUGUUUGGGAAUGCAGUCCAAAAUGGGUGGUAAAUUUCAUCUAAAGCUAAAUAUUGGCGAGAGACCGAUAGCGAACAAGUACCGUGAGGGAAAGAUGAAAAGAACUUUGAAAAGAGAGUUAAGCAGUACGUGAAAUUGUCAAAAGGGAAGCGUUUGACACCAGUGUUGUUUUUCUGAAAAUCAAUUAAAGAACUGUUUAUGCUAAGUUGUUUAGACUUUAUCAGCUAACUGUUUAGUUUUGAGCGUUUCUUUAAUGCACUUUUCAGUUAACAAGUCAACAUCAAUUUCUUUUGCUGUAAAAAAGCUUGAGGAAGGUGGCUUGAGAUUCGUCUUAAGUGUUUAUAGCCUCUUGCCUAUGCAGUCGGAGAGAUUGAGGUCUGCAGCGUAGAUCCUUCGGGGCUAAAUGCAUUUGUGCUAAGUUAUAGCAUUUCAUAGACAACUUGUUGACUAUGAUUUGUCUUGUAGCUUACUCGCUUAUGUUAUUUUACCUACGCUUAGGAUGUUGACAGCAGUAUAGACUGU